This 610-nucleotide ribosomal RNA is filed under the name uncultured bacterium. Its description in RNAcentral is "bacterial SSU rRNA". It matches the Rfam family "Bacterial small subunit ribosomal RNA", at positions 40 to 698 of the family's 1533-position model. The record is from RNAcentral.
CGGCGGNGGCUCAACACAUCGCAAGUCGAGCGCCCCGCAAGGGGAGCGGCAGACGGGAGAGUAACACGUGGGAACGUGCCCUUCAGUUCGGAACAACCCAGGGAAACUUGGGCUAAUACCGGAUACGUCCGUAAGGAGAAAGAUUUAUCGCUGAAGGAUCGGCCCGCGUCUGAUUAGCUAGUUGGUGGGGUAACGGCCCACCAAGGCGACGAUCAGUAGCUGGUCUGAGAGGAUGAUCAGCCUCACUGGGACUGAGACACGGCCCCAGUACUCCUACGGGAGGCAGCAGUGGGGAAUAUUGGACAAUGGGCGCAAGCCUGAUCCAGCCAUGCCGCGUGGGUGAUGAAGGCCCUAGGGUUGUAAAGCCCUUUCGGCGGGGAAGAUAAUGACGGUACCCGCAGAAGAAGCCCCGGCUAACUUCGUGCCAGCAGCCGCGGUAAUACGAAGGGGGCUAGCGUUGCUCGGAAUUCACUGGGCGUAAAGCGCACGUAGGCGGCUUCUUAAGUCAGGGGUGAAAUCCUGGAGCUUCAACUUCCAGAACUGCCUUUGAUACUGAGGAGCUCGAGUUCCGGGAGAGGUGAGUGGAAACUCCCGAAGUGUAAGAAGGUCG